RNAcentral lists this ribosomal RNA (468 nucleotides) under uncultured bacterium. RNAcentral describes it as "partial 16S ribosomal RNA". It matches the Rfam family "Bacterial small subunit ribosomal RNA", at positions 28 to 507 of the family's 1533-position model. The record is from RNAcentral.
GACGAACGCUGGCGGCGUGCUUAACACAUGCAAGUCGAACGGAAAGCACCUUCUAUUGUGGGGUGCUCGAGUGGCGAACGGGUGAGUGACACGUGGGUAACCUGCCCUUGGCUAUGGGAUAACUUCAGGAAACUGGGCAUAAUACCGUAUAGGCUAUCACGCUGUAUGGUGAGGGUUGGACAGUUCAGGGGGUUGGGGGUGGAUUGGCGGCUGAUCGGCUUGGUGGUGGGGUAGGGGUUUACCAAGGCUUUGACUGGUAGCGGGGCUGAGAGGAUGACCGGCAACAUUGGGAUUGAGAUACGGCCCAGACCCCUACGGGAGGCAGCGGUGGGGAAGAGGGCACAACGGGCGGAAGCGUGAUGCAGCAACGCCGCGUGCGGGAUGACGACCUGCGGGUUGGAAACCGCAGUCGCCUGUGACGGAGCGUGAGUGACGGUAAUGGGUAAAGAAGCACCGGCUAACUACGUG